AGACCACGGCCACACAGCCGGGAAAAACCACCAGAACCUGCUGCUAUUAGCCUCCCUUUAGAUGAAUUUGCUCUAAAUCAAAGCAGUUCAGACUUUUGCAAAGGUAUUUUAUUAUCAAUGUCUUUGUGAUGACUCCAGAAGAGCCAGACCCUCACAUACAUGAGCCUUUGUAAUAAUCAUUCACUGUUGUUAACUUCACUAAGUUCAAGUGAGCGUGUGUGUCAAUAUUCCAUUGAAAAGGGCUGUUGAGAUUGAGGGUGGGGGUUUUGAGGACCAAGUUCCAGGGGUGCCUGUUUCACUGGAGACCCAUGGAGCAAGUCAUUUGUUUUCAGAUGAUGUUUGGGUUGGGUCUGGGUAGUGUGGAGAAUGUUCAGGAAUCUUUGUUUUAGGGCUGUCAAGAGCUCUGGAAAACACAGGCCAUCUAAAUGUUCUUGCUUGGGAUCAGAAUAUCCAAAAAUUGUCCCACACAUUAGCACAAAGCUACACCCUUCAGAAUUCUCAAUGGGUGUGACAUGAUUUGGAAACCAGAGAAAAUCUUGCAGUACAGCAAAUGAACACAAAUAGUGUUUACUGUUUCCCAACACUUACAGUGCAAUCUAAAGGGGGCCCAAAAUCACUCAAGAGGUAGUGUGACCCUGAACCCACUUCGGGGUACUUAUGCCAGUGCCAGAACACUUAUGUGAGUGCUGGAGAGCAGUGCAGCAGCAGUGCAAUGCCUGGGCACCAGUGCAGCCAUGGUGGCAGCGUUCCUCCAGAACAGGAGCCUGUGGCAACGCAGAAGGGGGUUUUCGGGGGAGCAGGGUCCAUACGAGUCAGCUUCCUGAGCCCUUUAGGCUUGAUAAUGCCGCCAUUUGCUAGUGCAAAUUUACAGUGGCAAAAAUAGUGGUGCAGCCCAUUGUGCUGCAUGCAUAAGCCACUUUCAUGCGGGAAAAGGGAGCAUCACUGUUGAAUUGCUGGCUGCAGCACAGCAAUCCUCUUAGGAGGUGAUGCGACUGCAUGGUGGCUGUGCCAUCCCCAGCUGUGGCACAGCUACCCCUCUCUCCUCUGAAUUGCACUGGAAAAAAUGUAAUGACAAAUCCCAUUGGGACCAGAGUUGUGAGGAAAUAUUAGAGCAGAGCUCAUAAGAAGGAUUAGCAGAUCUUAGAAAGUACAUACAGAAGGUAGUACAGAAUCCGAACAUGGAUCCUUGUCAAAGCCAAGGAGACGUUCUGAAGAAGGAAGGACAGCCUCAAGCAGAAAGAUAGGCAGGAGAGAAAGCUGGGGGAAUUGUGUGCAAGGAAACCAGAAAAUAAAGUUGAAGGACAAGCCAAAAUGUCUUCAGCCCCAACUAGACAUGAUGGUGUCAAUAUGUGUGAUAAGAAUGCAAAAAGGAAUUCGUAGACAUGGUUGUCAGAUGGAGUUUAUGGAAGCUCUGGAUUUAGUAACAAAUUCAUGCUAGAGUAAUUCUCAUUUGAGAGUGAUGUGGUGAUAAAGUAUUUCCUAAAGCAAAGUCAAACCUGGGAUACUUUCAUAUGAUCUUCUGUAGCGUUCAGAUUAACUGGGAAUUUAGCACUGGCUCGUUUUAGAAACGAUUAAGCCAUGGUUGUAUUAAACUUACUAUGGUUGAUGUGAAUGUCUGCAGGCAAACCACUUGACAAACUAUGGUUAGAAAGGGCCAAAUGUACGUUCAGGAUUCUUGGGUUCCUCACAACUACACAGCAGCUGUGAGCGCAUGGGAGGAGUAUUCUGUGCAGCAAAAAUAGAGAAAUAAUUCCCCACAGUGUUGUCUUGGCACAGAAAAAUAACCUGGGGGAAGGCAGAAACCCUCCUCCUCCCCUCUGUGGUGGUGCUCUGAGCCUGUUGAGGAUCUUGUUUAUUUCUUAAAAGCCAUUUCAUGAAGCUGCUGUGUGACUGCGGGGAGCCAAACUGUAAAAAUCCAAGUGUGUAGUUUGGCCCUUAGGGUCAAAUCAGGAUAUGAACCCAGGACUUGAAGUUGGUUUAUUAAGACACAAUUUAUUGUAACUAUGGUUUCACAUAUCUGAAUUGCGACAUGAUGGCUUAAUCUUGGUUUGUUCUCUGACAAAGGCCUCCCAGAUGACUGAAAGAAAUAAAACCAAUAUUGGUGGAGACAAACCAGGGUUUAAGUGUAUGAACUAAAUCUUGAUUUCACAGAAUAACCAUUAUUAAAAUAAACCAUGAUGUCACUCUGUGUCUGAAUCAA
Sphaerodactylus townsendi is the source of this 2200-nucleotide long non-coding RNA. RefSeq lists it as uncharacterized. The transcript is spliced from 2 exons. Lineage: Eukaryota; Metazoa; Chordata; Lepidosauria; Squamata; Sphaerodactylidae. The record is from RefSeq and is a predicted model, not a curated record.